RNAcentral lists this ribosomal RNA (277 nucleotides) under uncultured prokaryote. Its description in RNAcentral is "partial 16S ribosomal RNA". It matches the Rfam family "Bacterial small subunit ribosomal RNA", at positions 524 to 800 of the family's 1533-position model. The record is from RNAcentral.
UACGUAGGGGCUAGCGUUAUCCGGAAUUACUGGGCGUAAAGGGUGCGUAGGCGGUCUUUCAAGCCAGAAGUGAAAGGCUACGGCUCAACCGUAGUAAGCUUUUGGUAACUGUAAGACUUGAGUGCAGGAGAGGAGAAUGGAAUUCCUAGUGUAGCGGUGAAAUGCGUAGAGAUUAGGAAGAACACCAGUGGCGAAGGCGAUUCUCUGGACUGUAACUGACGCUGAGGCUCGAAAGCGUGGGGAGCAAACAGGAUUAGAUACCCCCGUACGUCCCUGA